CAGUGGUUGUAUGCACGUGGCCAUGUGAGAGCAUUUCGAGAGGGAGAGUUGACUCUCUCCCCACUCUCGGCCGUACCAGGACAUUUGGGGGCAUUAAAUUAAAGAAAUCCUUAGAUGAUGGUGGUAAUGUCAGAUUUACAGUCAUUUUAUGAGAAUUAUUUCAUUUUAGUCUAUCAUUUUUGCGCUGUUCUUGUAGUUUAUUUACUUUCCAUAGUGUCAUUUGUUUUUUUCUUACUAGUUGAGAUUAUGAUUGCAGCUAAGCAACAACGAGAAUAUCAUCAUAAUUCAACAGCAAAUGAAUUGCAGUGUUUAACUGUGGAUGCAUCACCAGUCCCUAUCAAACAACAACCUCAAUUGACUUUGUUGAAUAAUAGUAAUGUUAAACUAUCCACAUCACCAUCGCCAAGGUUGUCGUCCCCUUCAAUAUUGAAUGCUACAAACCAAUGUUUGACUACUGCUAAUACUACUCCUGGUGCUGCAGUUAUUGUCAUUGUUACAAGGUAGUGUCAUCAGUAUGUUGUUGAUUGGUGUUUUUUAUUUGAGAACAGGUCUGUGAUGCCCUUAGAUGUCCGGGGUCACACGCGCGCUACAAUGACGGUGCCAGCGAGUGUGAAAACCUGGCCCGAAAGGGUUGGGCAGACUGUUUCAUUACCGUCGUGACUAGGAUCAGGGCUUGCAAUUAUUCCUCGUGAACGAGGAAUUCCUGGU
This 708-nucleotide non-coding RNA is filed under the name Schistosoma mattheei. Its description in RNAcentral is "Eukaryotic small subunit ribosomal RNA". It matches the Rfam family "Eukaryotic small subunit ribosomal RNA", at positions 1361 to 1618 of the family's 1831-position model. The record is from Rfam by way of RNAcentral. Lineage: Eukaryota; Metazoa; Platyhelminthes; Trematoda; Strigeidida; Schistosomatidae.